UGGGGAAUUUUCCGCAAUGGGCGAAAGCCUGACGGAGCAAUACCGCGUGCGGGAGGAAGGCCUUUGGGUCGUAAACCGCUUUUAACAGGGAAGAAGAUCUGACGGUACCUGUUGAAUAAGCCUCGGCUAACUCCGUGCCAGCAGCCGCGGUAAGACGGAGGAGGCAAGCGUUAUCCGGAAUUAUUGGGCGUAAAGCGUCCGCAGGUGGCCUAUCAAGUCUGUUGUUGAAGCCCAGGGCUCAACUCUGGAUCAGCAAUGGAAACUGAAAGGCUAGAGUACGGUAGGGGCAGAGGGAAUUCCCAGUGUAGCGGUGAAAUGCGUAGAUAUUGGGAAGAACACCAGUGGCGAAGGCGCUCUGCUGGGCCGUAACUGACACUCAUGGACGAAAGCUA
This 392-nucleotide ribosomal RNA is filed under the name uncultured Acaryochloris sp. RNAcentral's name for it is "bacterial SSU rRNA". It matches the Rfam family "Bacterial small subunit ribosomal RNA", at positions 355 to 762 of the family's 1533-position model. Lineage: Bacteria; Bacillati; Cyanobacteriota; Cyanophyceae; Acaryochloridales; Acaryochloridaceae. The record is from RNAcentral.